This is a long non-coding RNA of Panicum virgatum (switchgrass), 1516 nucleotides long. RefSeq lists it as uncharacterized. The transcript is spliced from 3 exons. NCBI's taxonomy places the organism in Eukaryota, Viridiplantae, Streptophyta, Magnoliopsida, Poales, Poaceae. The record is from RefSeq and is a predicted model, not a curated record.
UUGUCCAUUGGAGCCCCCAUAAGCCCCCCAAGAUAUUUUGACAUAGUGAAGAGGAGGAAGAUGGAGAAGAGAGGAAGAAGAACAGAAAAAGAGACCCCCCCAUCUAAGCUCUGGCUCCGUCCCUGCCCGUGUCAUCUCCGGCGACCUCUCGGUGAGGUUUGUCUAUUUCUGCCUAGGCUUAGCGUUUGGGUUGGAGAUUCCAGUCCCCUCUUUGGGUUUUAUCCAUUCCGGAUUGCUAGCUCGAUCUAUUGGCGCGACAGAUUUUCUUCUGGGCCACCACUGCUUAUUCGUGGCGUGUGGUUCUAGAUUGGAUUUCUUCCCCAGCUGGUGGAGACGUACGGUUGCUGAUGGUCGUUCACUGUCUCUUGCGUGUGCCGGAGUUCCCCAGCUGGUGGAGAUGUGUGGGCUGUGCUCGUCUGCACACAUAUAUUGCGGCUUUCCAAUGUUUGGGAUCGUUCUGCUAGCUUGGGAAGAGAAGCUGGUCCCUUGCCUCGGUGGUCUCCUGGGUCAUCGGGCCCUGGUGCUUCGAUUCCAGCGAGCUGCGCUGGGCCAAGAGGGAUCAAGUUGAAGGCGACGGCCCUGCAGAGAUGAUGAAGCUGUGAGACGACCGAUCUUCAGCUCCUUGAAAAGCUUCCACCAUACGUGCGCAAUCCGUUUCCAGGAUGAUCGAGUCCUGGCACCACAACUGCACGGAGUGCUGACUCGAUGGACAGGGUGCAAAUUGUACUAAACAGAUUUAGAGAGGCAUUAAGGGUCACCAAUGACACCCUGAUGGACGGAGUCGCAGUCCUAGACACGACGACAGCAGGCGCCACCAUGGACUCGAUGACCCGCAACGGCAACAGUAUAUCCACAAGGGUCCGGCGGCCUGGUGAUCUGUUGGCGCAGCAAUCUAAAAAUUGGUGCGCGCACAGACAUCGAUCCUCGGUGCCGGAGGAUUUCGAUUUUAACGGGGAUCAGCUAUUGGGAGCGUACUAGAGCUGCGGAAAUCUGGCACACUUGACCUUUGUUUUUUGGACGCACGGAAAUAUUGAGAAUACUAAGAUGCCCAAUACAUGCUUCCAAAUCCGAUUCUGGAAACUAAUAUGAAAAAAACAGCUCCAACAGUAGCCUAAUCCAGUUCCCAAUUUUCCCGUACGCCCAAAAAUGAAGGUCUCUCGAGCCAGAUUUCGUCAGCAAGAAUAAAUAAAGCUUUCAAAAGAAGCAGAGUUCGUCUCUUUCAAAAGAAAAACUGAGCUUUCGCCUCAUGCAUCCAUGAUCCAUCGAAUCCUUGUCGCGUAGCUUGUCUCUGAACCGUGCUGGCCGCGCUCGGCGCCAAGGGAUCUCCGAGACUCCGACAUCCAAGUCAAAGCACGGCGGCAGUGCGUUUCUUCAGAGUUGCUUGAUCCGAAUUCGAUUUUCAUCAUCAUGAGAACAUACAAUCUGAGCAUUCGUUUGCUAUUGUUCUCAACCAUUAAUUGCUUCCAUCGAUUUUGCUAGUUCUUUUCUUGCUAGCAUUGAUCGUGGCGUGGGAAGA